CCUGUAAAACUAAGGCCGGCUACACACUGGAUGUGUUGCGCGAGAAUGUCAGCUGCGUGGCGUGUCCGUUUUUAUUUUGGCUCCCAUGAUAACAGGUUAGAGCUUACACACUGCCUGCAUGACACGCAUGCAUGAUAAAAAUAGAGA
Etheostoma spectabile (orangethroat darter) is the source of this 147-nucleotide long non-coding RNA. RefSeq lists it as uncharacterized. The record is from RefSeq and is a predicted model, not a curated record. The transcript has 3 exons. NCBI's taxonomy places the organism in Eukaryota, Metazoa, Chordata, Actinopteri, Perciformes, Percidae.